AGUGAACGCUGGCGGUAGGCCUAACACAUGCAAGUCGAACGGCAGCACAGUAAGAGCUUGCUCUUAUGGGUGGCGAGUGGCGGACGGGUGAGGAAUACAUCGGAAUCUACUUUUUCGUGGGGGAUAACGUAGGGAAACUUACGCUAAUACCGCAUACGACCUACGGGUGAAAGCAGGGGACCUUCGGGCCUUGCGCGAUUGAAUGAGCCGAUGUCGGAUUAGCUAGUUGGCGGGGUAAAGGCCCACCAAGGCGACGAUCCGUAGCUGGUCUGAGAGGAUGAUCAGCCACACUGGAACUGAGACACGGUCCAGACUCCUACGGGAGGCAGCAGUGGGGAAUAUUGGACAAUGGGCGCAAGCCUGAUCCAGCCAUACCGCGUGGGUGAAGAAGGCCCUCGGGUUGUAAAGCCCUUUUGUUGGGAAAGAAAUCCAGCCGGCUAAUACCUGGUUGGGAUGACGGUACCCAAAGAAUAAGCACCGGCUAACUUCGUGCCAGCAGCCGCGGUAAUACGAAGGGUGCAAGCGUUACUCGGAAUUACUGGGCGUAAAGCGUGCGUAGGUGGUUGUUUAAGUCUGUUGUGAAAGCCCUGGGCUCAACCUGGGAACUGCAGUGGAAACUGGACAACUAGAGUGUGGUAGAGGGUAGCGGAAUUCCCGGUGUAGCAGUGAAAUGCGUAGAGAUCGGGAGGAACAUCCAUGGCGAAGGCAGCUACCUGGACCAACACUGACACUGAGGCACGAAAGCGUGGGGAGCAAACAGGAUUAGAUACACAGGUAGUCCACGCCCUAAACGAUGCGAACUGGAUGUUGGGUGCAAUUUGGCACGCAGUAUCGAAGCUAACGCGUUAAGUUCGCCGCCUGGGGAGUACGGUCGCAAGACUGAAACUCAAAGGAAUUGAGGGGGGCCCGCACAAGCGGUGGAGUAUGUGGUUUAAUUCGAUGCAACGCG
This 949-nucleotide ribosomal RNA is filed under the name uncultured Xanthomonas sp. RNAcentral describes it as "bacterial SSU rRNA". It matches the Rfam family "Bacterial small subunit ribosomal RNA", at positions 28 to 963 of the family's 1533-position model. The record is from RNAcentral. Lineage: Bacteria; Pseudomonadati; Pseudomonadota; Gammaproteobacteria; Lysobacterales; Lysobacteraceae.